This 494-nucleotide ribosomal RNA is filed under the name uncultured bacterium. Its description in RNAcentral is "partial 16S ribosomal RNA". It matches the Rfam family "Bacterial small subunit ribosomal RNA", at positions 28 to 507 of the family's 1533-position model. The record is from RNAcentral.
GACGAACGCUGGCGGCGUGCUUAACACAUGCAAGUCGAACGGAAAGGCCUGCUUUCCCUUGUGGAUUGCGGGUACUCGAGUGGCGAACGGGUGAGUAACACGUGAGUGAUCUGCCCCCAACUUGGGUAUAAGCCUGGGAAACUGGGUCUAAUUCCCGAUAGCACUGCAGGGUGGUGCCUGUGGUGGAAAACGAUUUUCACGUGGUUGGGAUUAGGCUGGCGGCGUUUUAGUUGGUGGGGGGGGUAUGGGCCACCAAAGGGGGGGACGGGUAGCCGGCCUGGGAGGGUGGACGGCAGCAGUGGGACUGAGACACGGCCCAGACGCGUACGGGCGGCAGCAGAGGGGAAUAAUGCGCAAUGGGCGGAAGCCAGAUGCAGCGACGCCGCGUGGGGGAUGACGGGCUUGGGGUUGUAAACUCCUUGCGACCGCGAGGAAGCCACCUGGUUGGAAGGGUGGUGACGGUAGUGGUAGAAGAAGCACCGGCUAACUACGUG